Neodiprion fabricii is the source of this 356-nucleotide long non-coding RNA. RefSeq lists it as uncharacterized. The record is from RefSeq and is a predicted model, not a curated record. The transcript is spliced from 3 exons. NCBI's taxonomy places the organism in Eukaryota, Metazoa, Arthropoda, Insecta, Hymenoptera, Diprionidae.
GUUGAAGGCGAGUAACGUCGGUGCGAUAUAUAUUCCGGUUCUAUAAAAGGUUGUCAAAAUACAAAGGAUAGCAACAAACUAUCCAGCACGAUAGAUACUUCGUACAGUUCGGUCAGCUGGGCUGUAAUUACCGGAAGGAAGUUUUCAGAAGUUGCAAUCAUCUUUCCUGAAUUUUCUGCGUUUGAUCAUCUUCUCCAAUGGUCACCUAUUUCUGUGAGCUCAGAUUUUUCUAUUACAAGUCGGUGAAAAUUGGAUAUGGCACAAUAGUUGAAGAAUAAUACCUGUCAACAUUUAUUGACAAAAUACAACAAUACUAAGUCCGCAUGAAUUAUGAUAUAUUAAAAAGUAAAAUAACA